This 253-nucleotide ribosomal RNA is filed under the name uncultured bacterium. Its description in RNAcentral is "partial 16S ribosomal RNA". It matches the Rfam family "Bacterial small subunit ribosomal RNA", at positions 524 to 776 of the family's 1533-position model. The record is from RNAcentral.
UACGUAGGGUGCGAGCGUUGUCCGGAAUUAUUGGGCGUAAAGAGCUCGUAGGCGGUUUGUCGCGUCGGCCGUGAAAACUUGGGGCUUAACUCCAAGCUUGCGGUCGAUACGGGCAGACUUGAGUUCGGCAGGGGAGACUGGAAUUCCUGGUGUAGCGGUGAAAUGCGCAGAUAUCAGGAGGAACACCGGUGGCGAAGGCGGGUCUCUGGGCCGAAACUGACGCUGAGGAGCGAAAGCGUGGGGAGCGAACAGG